Molecule: long non-coding RNA, 1342 nt
Organism: Sycon ciliatum
Lineage: Eukaryota; Metazoa; Porifera; Calcarea; Leucosolenida; Sycettidae
Exons: 5
Source: RefSeq, a predicted model, not a curated record
GCGUAGGUUAUUAUUAAUUUUUCGACCGGUAGUAUAAUGGAGGCAGGAUUUUCAUGUUUGAAAAGGGAGUCAGAUAUUUCCAUGCCUGUUUAUCAAUAAUUGAUGUACACGCUUGUCAGCGCUCCAGCUAGUGGCUGCUCCAGCUAGUGGCUGCUCCAGCUAGUGGCUGCUCCGAAUACACUACACAAUACAAUCAUAGUAUUUUCAUUUCGUCCAGAAAACCAGUGGUCCCUUGCAUUCAAAGUCACUGAAUAUAAAUAAUUCCUCUGGCAUUAGUCAGACUGAGGACCUGCUGGUAACUAGUGGCCUAGCGGGGCGUUAAGGAGCAGAAAGAAGUAUUCACUGUCUGAGCACCACUCUAGUUCAAUGAGAAUGUCAAGACCUUCUAAUGCAUCCAGAAGCUAUGUGAAGAUCACCCGAUGACGGCCACUAGGGAUGCCAGGGUCGACCACCUGGUGUAGAGAUAAUGGAGAUUUGGAAGUGUUUAUCCUUCGCUGAUGCUCAUCAAACAAUCAUACUCCCCAGACAGAGCAAAUUAUUAUUGGUCAAUGCAAGAGAAAUGGAGAAAGCUCAACUGAGAUCGUUGAGCCAAGUUUGAAGCACAGCCAUAAUUCUGCUUUGUCACACAGCCACCAGCUGCACAAAUACACAGGCAUUUCUGCCUUCUCGCCAAACCGUACGGCUAAACUCUCAAUAAAUGACUACAGCCUGAAGUAGCAGGAGAAGCUGAUGCACCAACACAGCUAUGGUUUGUGGGGUCACCAUGGCAACAGCAGAAGCUGUCACCAUUCCUCCAUCACCUGUACUGCCCAUAGUUACAGUAGAGGCUAUUUGAACGCCACCACUUGUACUCACUCAUCGUCACUCACAUGUCGUGAGCCUGAAUUUUACUUUGUGGGUAGAAAUUGGAUGGGUCUUCAUGCGCUCCAUGAAAAGCUUUUGCAUUGUCUUGUUUUCUGAGUAUGGCACGUCCAUGGCUUUACCUGAAAUCCAGUAAGUUUGCAUGUCUUAUCAAGGAACCAAGGUGUUUUGAUGACAAGUAUGUGGAGACCCCCCUCCCCUAAAUCUCUAUGGGAUCAGACUCUGGUCUAUCUUCGUUUCCCAUUUCAAGGGACCAUUUUUUUUUCAUGAAUGCUUUCUCACAAUGUUUGUGGUAUUAUCAUCCAUUUCUGCCACCUGUGAGAGCCCCUACUGCUCUACUUACUUCCAAGUAUGAUUUUUGGGCACGCGGAGGAACAACUUCGCGGCAUAGGAACUUAUGUGUGUUUUGGCUGCUUGUGAGCUGACUUUUCCUUUUCAAACUCAGUUGCAUUUCUAUGAACGGAGUGCAUUGUGUGUGUGU